CACACACACACACACACUCACACACACACUGGAUGUUUGUAAUUGUGAAGUCUGCUGCCUUUACCCAGCAGACCGUCGUGCUCUGCCAUAGAUAUAAAAGUUGAAUGACUCUGAGAAUCAUCACGAGUCGCAGAGUUGCCGUUGGAGGAGUUGUUAAGCCGAGCCGAGGGGCAGAUGUGCGUCUUUGAAACUUAUGAAAUAUCUACACUCCUCUUCUUUGUACUACUCUUCUCUCAUCAUCCAGUUUGUCCCGGGACUCUCCGGCUCAUCUCAGCACCUUCUCAGGCAAUAAUUCCCGCAGCGGCUUCAUGAAAGAUUCAUUAAGCUUUCACAGAGUUUGCUGCCUUUUCUGUUUUCUUUUCUUUUUUUUUUUUAGUUUGAAGGACGGUGUUGAAGGUGUUUUGACAGUCGCUCCAGGAGGAGAGAGCCCGCCACGCCACCUCAACAACGCCCACGGAAGCAAUAACGUUUCCCGCCUCGAUGGGACAGACGGAUCUCAUCACCCGGCGGCCACAGAUGAUAUUUCUUCCCUCUCUCGGGUGCCUCGGGGUGGAUUACAGAGGCGAGGUGGUGCCUGGGAGGUCGCGCCGUUUGAAGGCCUGAGUGGUUUCGCAGGAGCCGCCUGGAGAGACCGAAGCAGCAGCUUCCUCCCCGCUGAGGAGGACGACACUGAAUUAACAUUCAGGAGAAGCUGAAAGGUGUCCUGGAGGUGCAAACCAGAGUGGAAGGUGCCUCAGGGUGGAUCAGACAGGCGAGGUGGUGUCUGGGAGGUCCGUUUGAAGUCCUGAGUGGUUCUGAGCAGCAGCUUCCUCCCCGCUGAGGAAGACGAAGUUUAGAGGCGUCAAACAGAGAUGGAAGAAGAUGUAAUCGUCCCUGUCCACACGCAGCAGUAAGCAACACGACCACCAGAGGGCGCCAACCUUUUCCAUUGUCGCUCUGCUGAGGCUCUGAGAGGCAGGUGAAGGUGUCCCGGAUCGCCAGCAGACCGGAGGCCAGAAGACGUCCGCUCACUCUGCUGUGCCACUCCUGAGACCGGCCCCUGGAAGACAGAGCAAACCAGGAGAAGACGUGGCAACUUUGUGAAAAAGCUCCUGAACUCUGCGGCUGCAUGAUUCAUCGUCGAACAUCUUCGUGUGUUUGUGAGACAUUCUGGGUCGCUGCAGAAAUGAAUAUUUUCUCAUCCCAAAAGAAAAAGUAAUGAUACGACAGACUGUGAGGAUUUAUCGUCCUUAAAUCUAAAAUACGACUCUGAUUUUGGUGUAAUAAAGUUGUAAAUUAUGAAAAACUGAUUAAAAUAUAAAGGAUAAGUUCACCCAAAAGUGAAAAAAAACCCUCUGUCAUCAUCUCCUCC
Molecule: long non-coding RNA, 1351 nt
Organism: Acanthopagrus latus (yellowfin seabream)
Lineage: Eukaryota; Metazoa; Chordata; Actinopteri; Spariformes; Sparidae
Exons: 5
Source: RefSeq, a predicted model, not a curated record